UGGGGAAUUUUGGGACAAUGGGCGAAAGCCUGAUCCAGCAAUGCCGCGUGUGUGAAGAAGGCCUUCGGGUUGUAAAGCACUUUUGUCCGGAAAGAAAUCCUUGGCUCUAAUACAGUCGGGGGAUGACGGUACCGGAAGAAUAAGCACCGGCUAACUACGUGCCAGCAGCCGCGGUAAUACGUAGGGUGCAAGCGUUAAUCGGAAUUACUGGGCGUAAAGCGUGCGCAGGCGGUUUGCUAAGACCGAUGUGAAAUCCCCGGGCUCAACCUGGGAACUGCAUUGGUGACUGGCAGGCUAGAGUAUGGCAGAGGGGGGUAGAAUUCCACGUGUAGCAGUGAAAUGCGUAGAGAUGUGGAGGAAUACCGAUGGCGAAGGCAGCCCCCUGGGCCAAUACUGACGCUCAUGCACGAAAAGCGUGGGGGAGCAAAACAGGAUUAG
RNAcentral lists this ribosomal RNA (438 nucleotides) under uncultured bacterium. RNAcentral's name for it is "partial 16S ribosomal RNA". It matches the Rfam family "Bacterial small subunit ribosomal RNA", at positions 355 to 781 of the family's 1533-position model. The record is from RNAcentral.